GAGCCAUUAGCUCAGUUGGUAGAGCAUUUGACUUUUAAUCAGAGGGUCAGAGGUUCGAAUCCUCUAUGGCUCACCA
This 76-nucleotide transfer RNA is filed under the name Staphylococcus aureus. Its description in RNAcentral is "tRNA-Lys". It matches the Rfam family "tRNA". Rfam says of the family: Transfer RNA (tRNA) molecules are approximately 80 nucleotides in length. Their secondary structure includes four short double-helical elements and three loops (D, anti-codon, and T loops). Lineage: Bacteria; Bacillati; Bacillota; Bacilli; Caryophanales; Staphylococcaceae. The record is from RNAcentral.